UACAGAGAGGGCAAGCGUUGUCCGGAAUGACUGGGCGUAAAGCGCGCGCAGGCGGUUUCUUAAGUUGGAUGUGAAAUCCCCGGGCUUAACCUGGGAACUGCAUUCGAUACUGGGAGACUAGAGGCCGAGAGAGGAAAGCGGAAUGACGAGUGUAGAGGUGAAAUUCGUAGAUAUUCGUCGGAACACCAGAGGCGAAGGCGGCUUUCUGGCUCGGACCUGACGCUCAGGCGCGAAAGCGUGGGGAGCAAAC
This 250-nucleotide ribosomal RNA is filed under the name uncultured bacterium. RNAcentral describes it as "partial 16S ribosomal RNA". It matches the Rfam family "Bacterial small subunit ribosomal RNA", at positions 524 to 773 of the family's 1533-position model. The record is from RNAcentral.